UACGAAGGGGGCUAGCGUUGCUCGGAAUCACUGGGCGUAAAGGGUGCGUAGGCGGGUCUUUAAGUCAGGGGUGAAAUCCUGGAGCUCAACUCCAGAACUGCCUUUGAUACUGAGGAUCUUGAGUUCGGGAGAGGUGAGUGGAACUGCGAGUGUAGAGGUGAAAUUCGUAGAUAUUCGCAAGAACACCAGUGGCGAAAGCGGCUUCCUGGUCCAGCACCGACGUUCAGGCACGAAAGCGUGGGGAGCAAACAGG
This 253-nucleotide ribosomal RNA is filed under the name uncultured prokaryote. Its description in RNAcentral is "partial 16S ribosomal RNA". It matches the Rfam family "Bacterial small subunit ribosomal RNA", at positions 524 to 776 of the family's 1533-position model. The record is from RNAcentral.